ACUCCCCAGGGACCACUGUGUGUUCCUGCCUGUGACCAGGGUUGACUGAACUGCCAAGAUGUCCUGCCAGCAGAACCAGCAGCAGUGCCAGCACCCUCCCAAGUGCCCCCCCAAGUGCCCCGUCCCUAAGUGCCCCCCCAAGUGCCCUCCUAAGUGCCCUCCAGUCUCUUCCUGCUGCAGUGGCAGCUCCGGGGGCUGCUGUGGCUCCAGUUCUGGGGGAGGGGGCUGCUGCAGCUCUGGGCAUGGGGGCUGCUGCCUGAGCCACCACAGGCCCCACCUCUUCCACCGGCGCCGGCACCAGAACCCUGACUGCUGUGAAUGUGAGCCCUCGGAAGGCUCUGGGGGCUGCUGCUGACCUGGACCCUGGGGACCCCCAAAGAACAAAUGAACAGAGCACCAAAUACGUCUGCUUCCCCCCGCCUCACUCCCCAUCUCAGACAUCCUGACAUCCGGGGCUGACAUGUCCUGAGCUAACUCAGACACUUCUGUGUGUAGACCUUUCUGCUCCUCCUCCUUUACCUUUGCAAAAAUAAAGUUUCGGUUUCCUACUCA
Molecule: long non-coding RNA, 552 nt
Organism: Phacochoerus africanus (Common warthog)
Lineage: Eukaryota; Metazoa; Chordata; Mammalia; Artiodactyla; Suidae
Exons: 2
Source: RefSeq, a predicted model, not a curated record